GUUUCUGUGGUGCUAUUAGUUAGCGCAUUUGGCUGUUAACUGAAAUGUUGGUGAUUCAAUCCCACCCAGGGGCG
RNAcentral lists this transfer RNA (74 nucleotides) under Camelus bactrianus (Bactrian camel). It matches the Rfam family "tRNA". From Rfam's summary of the family: Transfer RNA (tRNA) molecules are approximately 80 nucleotides in length. Their secondary structure includes four short double-helical elements and three loops (D, anti-codon, and T loops). The record is from Rfam by way of RNAcentral. Lineage: Eukaryota; Metazoa; Chordata; Mammalia; Artiodactyla; Camelidae. RNAcentral also lists the same sequence under 2 other names.